GACGAACGCUGGCGGCAUGCCUAACACAUGCAAGUCGAACGGAACCUUCGGGUCUAGGGGCGCACGGCGGCGUAACGCGUGGGAACCUACACUUAGGUUCGGAAUCACUCCCCGAAGGGGAUCCUAAUACCAGUUAAUGUAAUACGAGCAAGGAGGUAUCGCCAUUGGGUGGGCGCGGGUUAGUUUAGGUGGUUGGUAGGGUAAAAGCCUAGCAAGGGGACGAUGCCUGGCUGGUGGGAGAGGAUGAUCUGCUACGCUGGGAAUGAGACACGGCCCAGACUCCGACGGGAGGGAGCAGUAGGUAAUAUUGGACGAGGGACGAAAGUCUGAUCCAGCAAUGUCGCGUGAGUGAUGAAUGCCUUAGGGUUGUAAAGCUCUUUUACCCGGGAUGAUAAUGACAGUACCGGGUGAAUAAGCUCCGGCUAACUCCGUG
RNAcentral lists this ribosomal RNA (433 nucleotides) under uncultured bacterium. Its description in RNAcentral is "partial 16S ribosomal RNA". It matches the Rfam family "Bacterial small subunit ribosomal RNA", at positions 28 to 507 of the family's 1533-position model. The record is from RNAcentral.